RNAcentral lists this ribosomal RNA (253 nucleotides) under uncultured bacterium. RNAcentral describes it as "partial 16S ribosomal RNA". It matches the Rfam family "Bacterial small subunit ribosomal RNA", at positions 524 to 776 of the family's 1533-position model. The record is from RNAcentral.
UACGUAGGGUGCGAGCGUUAAUCGGAAUUACUGGGCGUAAAGCGUGCGCAGGCGGUUAUGUAAGACAGAUGUGAAAUCCCCGGGCUUAACCUGGGAACUGCAUUUGUGACUGCAUAGCUAGAGUACGGUAGAGGGUGGUGGAAUUUCCUGUGUAGCGGUGAAAUGCGUAGAUAUCUGGAGGAAUACCGGUGGCGAAGGCGGCCAUCUGGGCCACCCUUGACGCUGAGACGCGAAAGCGUGGGUAGCAAACAGG